UACGUAGGGCGCAAGCGUUGUCCGGAAUUAUUGGGCGUAAAGAGCUCGUAGGCGGUUUGUCGCGUCUGCUGUGAAAGCCCGGGGCUCAACCCCGGGUCUGCAGUGGGUACGGGCAGACUAGAGUGCAGUAGGGGAGACUGGAAUUCCUGGUGUAGCGGUGAAAUGCGCAGAUAUCAGGAGGAACACCGAUGGCGAAGGCAGGUCUCUGGGCUGUUACUGACGCUGGGAGAAGCUGGGAAGCAUAGGGAGCGAAUGAUAGACC
RNAcentral lists this ribosomal RNA (262 nucleotides) under uncultured bacterium. RNAcentral describes it as "partial 16S ribosomal RNA". It matches the Rfam family "Bacterial small subunit ribosomal RNA", at positions 524 to 786 of the family's 1533-position model. The record is from RNAcentral.